This 419-nucleotide ribosomal RNA is filed under the name uncultured bacterium. RNAcentral's name for it is "bacterial SSU rRNA". It matches the Rfam family "Bacterial small subunit ribosomal RNA", at positions 31 to 496 of the family's 1533-position model. The record is from RNAcentral.
GUACGCUGGCGGCACGCCUAACACAUGCAAGUCGAACGCAGUAGCAAUACUGAGUGGCAAACGGGUGAGUAUAAUGUGGGAAUCUGCCUUUUGGUUUGGAAUAACACGGGGAAACUUGUGCUAAUACCGAAUAAGCCUUUACGGGGAAAGUUUUAACGCCGAAAGAUGAGCCUGCACUUGAUUAGCUAGUUGGUAAGGUAAAAGCUUACCAAGGCGACGAUCAAUAGCUGUUCUUAGAGGAAGACCAGCCACAUUGGGACUGAGACACGGCCCAGACUCCUACGGGAGGCAGCAGUGGGGAAUCUUGCACAAUGGGGGAAACCCUGAUGCAGCGAUGCCGCGUGAGUGAAGAAGGCCUUUGGGUUGUAAAACUCUUUCGUCGGGGAAGAAAAUGACUGUACCCGAAUAAGAAGGUCCGG